Molecule: ribosomal RNA, 496 nt
Filed under: uncultured bacterium
Lineage: Bacteria
Description: partial 16S ribosomal RNA
Rfam family: Bacterial small subunit ribosomal RNA
Source: RNAcentral
AUGAACGCUGGCGGCGCGCCUAAUACAUGCAAGUCGAGCGAACAGACGAGGAGCUUGCUCCUCUGACGUUAGCGGCGGACGGGUGAGUAACACGUGGAUAACCUACCUAUAAGACUGGGAUAACUUCGGGAAACCGGAGCUAAUACCGGAUAAUAUAUUGAACCGCAUGGUUCAAUAGUGAAAGACGGUUUUGCUGUCACUUAUAGAUGGAUCCGCGCCGCAUUAGCUAGUUGGUAAGGUAACGGCUUACCAAGGCAACGAUGCGUAGCCGACCUGAGAGGGUGAUCGGCCACACUGGAACUGAGACACGGUCCAGACUCCUACGGGAGGCAGCAGUAGGGAAUCUUCCGCAAUGGGCGAAAGCCUGACGGAGCAACGCCGCGUGAGUGAUGAAGGUCUUCGGAUCGUAAAACUCUGUUAUUAGGGAAGAGCAAAUGUGUAAGUAACUAUGCACGUCUUGACGGUACCUAAUCAGAAAGCCACGGCUAACUACGUG